AUACGGAGGGAGCAAGCGUUAUUCGGAAUCACUGGGCGUAAAGGACGCGUAGGCGGGUUUGUAAGUCAGGUGUGAAAUCCUACAGCUCAACUGUAGAACUGCACUUGAAACUACAGACCUAGAGUAUGGAAGGGGCAGAUGGAAUUAGUGGUGUAGGGGUAAAAUCCGUAGAUAUCACUAGGAAUACCGAAAGCGAAGGCGAUCUGCUGGGACAUUUCUGACGCUGAGGCGUGAAAGCGUGGGGAGCAAACAGGAUUAGAUACCCUAGUAGUCC
This 274-nucleotide ribosomal RNA is filed under the name uncultured bacterium. RNAcentral describes it as "partial 16S ribosomal RNA". It matches the Rfam family "Bacterial small subunit ribosomal RNA", at positions 523 to 796 of the family's 1533-position model. The record is from RNAcentral.